Molecule: non-coding RNA, 74 nt
Organism: Thiothrix lacustris
Lineage: Bacteria; Pseudomonadati; Pseudomonadota; Gammaproteobacteria; Thiotrichales; Thiotrichaceae
Source: Rfam
AGGCGUAUAGCUCAGUUGGUUAGAGCACCACCUUGACAUGGUGGGGGUCGUUGGUUCGAGUCCAAUUACGCCUA